This 72-nucleotide transfer RNA is filed under the name Candidatus Parcubacteria bacterium. Its description in RNAcentral is "tRNA-Met". It matches the Rfam family "tRNA". From Rfam's summary of the family: Transfer RNA (tRNA) molecules are approximately 80 nucleotides in length. The record is from RNAcentral. RNAcentral also lists the same sequence under 1 other name. Lineage: Bacteria; Candidatus Parcubacteria.
AGCGGGGUAGGGGAGCAGUUACCCGCCAGUCUCAUAAGCUGGAGAUCGUUGGUGCAAUUCCAACCCCCGCAA